Lolium perenne is the source of this 1554-nucleotide long non-coding RNA. RefSeq lists it as uncharacterized. Lineage: Eukaryota; Viridiplantae; Streptophyta; Magnoliopsida; Poales; Poaceae. The record is from RefSeq and is a predicted model, not a curated record.
GCGGCGGGCGGCAGGGAACGGCGACAUGUGUAGGCGGUUGGGCGCCAGAUGUGCAGCCCAUAGGUGUGGCGCCGGCCGGAGUUGAUGGUGGCGGACGCGUUCUAGCAGCUUUAGAUCCGUCCUCGACUCAAUCAUGCUGUUCUUUCGUGCUUGAACAUAUACAGCCUUCUUCUCAUGAUCACAAGGGCACCGCUGCACCGGUGGACAAGAAGACAGCCUAUAUAUCAUGCUCAUCUUGCCUCUGAUUUGCUACUAUCAUACCACAUCGCCGUCUUGAAUAUGAGUUCCUGGUGAUCAUAUGAACAAUGGAAAGGAGAGGCAUGACCAACAACAUCAUAAAUUGCAGUAUUGGGCCACAUGCAUGGUGGCCUGGAUGUACUACAAAAAAGAAAUAUCAAGCCCAUAUACCCUGCUCCAUCGGGGCUGUAUGAACUAUGGCGUCAACAGAAUGGCGGUGGUUGUUACUGAAACCCUCAACAUGCAGCAUCUACUAUUUCUUGACUUCAAUUUGGCUCGGGAAGAAUCAGGCGGUUGCAAAUAGAAAAUUGCUUUAGGCUUGGAUGUACUGCAAAAAGAAAUAUCAAUCUCAUAUACCUUGUUCCAUCGCGGCUAUCUCAAGUAUGGUGUCAACGGAAUGGCGGUGGCCGUUACUGAAACCCUCGACAUGCAGCAUCGACUAUUCCACGACUUCGGUUUGCUAUCUCAAUUACGGUGUCAACAGUUUGGUGGUGGCUGGUACUGAAAUCCUCGACAUGUAGCAUCGACUAUUCCUCCACUUCGAUUUGACUAUAGAGUGAAAGCUACACGCAAUUGCAAUAGACGGGCAGACAAUCAUGAUCCAAUUGGUAUUAUUAUCUGAUGAUGUGGACGGGCUACAUGUUAAGAUAAAUAUCAUUAAGAAAUCAUAGUGAGGUUUUUCUUGAUGAUGUGGAUGGGCUAUGUGUUAAGAUAAAUAUCAUUAAGAACUCAUAGUUAGGUUUUUCUUUAGGGGGCACCAGCUUUCAUCUUGGGCGUUGAGUCAGCCAGCCAGAAAGCGCUCUAUUUUUUCUUCAUGCAGCAUAUGGCAAUUUAUUUCGUAAUAACUACUCCCUUGAUUCACGCCCAUGCAAUUUGCUUCCAUGUGAAGAAUUUUAGUUUCCAAUUGAAGAUCACUUUAUUUUCGUUGCAACUUAAUUUUGCUUCAUAUUUUAGAGUAGUUAAUUUGCUUCUAAUCCAUUCGAAAUUAUUCUCAUCCAAAAAUAAAACUCGGUGUCCAGAUCCCAACACAUAGAGAAACAGUUUCCUCAAUCGGAAAAUUGCUUAGCAGUGAAACUAUUCUUGCAUUGAACAAAGAUAUGGUGUUCACAAUUUUUUAUUUCCAUGGAAGAAAAAUUGUGCUUCGAUCCAGAAGAGAAUUUACUUCCAAUGCUGCUAAGCAACUAAAUUUCUUUUCAAUCAAAUAAAGGAAGUUUUGCAUCGUAAAUGGUUUCCAAUGAUACCCUACUUUGCUUCUAUUGGUUCUCAAAUUAGCUUUGAUAUACUAUGGAAGCACUAAUCAUGCUUAAGUUGUAUUUC